Molecule: ribosomal RNA, 468 nt
Filed under: uncultured bacterium
Lineage: Bacteria
Description: partial 16S ribosomal RNA
Rfam family: Bacterial small subunit ribosomal RNA
Source: RNAcentral
GACGAACGCUGGCGGCGUGCUUAACACAUGCAAGUCGAACGGAAAGGCCCUGCUUUUGUGGGGUGCUCGAGUGGCGAACGGGUGAGUAACACGUGAGUAACCUGCCCUUGACUUUGGGAUAACUUCAGGAAACUGGGGCUCAUACCGGAUAGGAGCUCCUGCUGCAUGGUGGGGGUUGGAAAGUUUCGGCGGUUGGGGAUGGACUCGCGGGUUAUCAGCUUGUUGGUGGGGUAGUGGCUUACCAAGGCUUUGACGGGUAGCCGGCCUGAGAGGGUGACCGGCCACAUUGGGACUGAGAGACGGCCCAGACUCCUACGGGAGGCAGCAGUGGGGAAUAUUGCACAGUGGGCGGAAGCCUGAUGCAGCAACGCCGCGUGCGGGAUGACGGCCUUCGGGUGGUAAACCGCUGUCGCCGGUGACGAAGCGUGAGUGACGGUAAUGGGUAAAGAAGCACCGGCUAACUACGUG